RNAcentral lists this transfer RNA (76 nucleotides) under Actinomycetes bacterium. RNAcentral describes it as "Actinobacteria bacterium tRNA-Ala". It matches the Rfam family "tRNA". From Rfam's summary of the family: Transfer RNA (tRNA) molecules are approximately 80 nucleotides in length. RNAcentral also lists the same sequence under 2 other names. Lineage: Bacteria; Bacillati; Actinomycetota; Actinomycetes. The record is from RNAcentral.
GGGGACGUAGCUCAGCUGGUAGAGCACCUGCUUUGCAAGCAGGGGGUCGGCGGUUCGAGUCCGCUCGUCUCCACCA